This 545-nucleotide ribosomal RNA is filed under the name uncultured bacterium. Its description in RNAcentral is "bacterial SSU rRNA". It matches the Rfam family "Bacterial small subunit ribosomal RNA", at positions 777 to 1322 of the family's 1533-position model. The record is from RNAcentral.
AAUAGAUACCCGGGUAGUCCACCCCGUAAACGUUGGGAACUAGUUGUGGGGUCCUUUCCACGGAUUCCGUGACGCAGCUAACGCAUUAAGUUCCCCGCCUGGGGAGUACGGCCGCAAGGCUAAAACUCAAAGGAAUUGACGGGGACCCGCACAAGCGGCGGAGCAUGCGGAUUAAUUCGAUGCAACGCGAAGAACCUUACCAAGGCUUGACAUACACCAGAACACCCUAGAAAUAGGGGACUCUUUGGACACUGGUGAACAGGUGGUGCAUGGUUGUCGUCAGCUCGUGUCGUGAGAUGUUGGGUUAAGUCCCGCAACGAGCGCAACCCUCGUUCUAUGUUGCCAGCACGUAAUGGUGGGAACUCAUGGGAUACUGCCGGGGUCAACUCGGAGGAAGGUGGGGAUGACGUCAAAUCAUCAUGCCCCUUAUGUCUUGGGCUUCACGCAUGCUACAAUGGCCGGUACAAAGGGCUGCAAUACCGUGAGGUGGAGCGAAUCCCAAAAGCCGGUCCCAGUUCGGAUUGAGGUCUGCAACUCGACUCAUG